Non-coding RNA from Felis catus (domestic cat), 85 nucleotides. Lineage: Eukaryota; Metazoa; Chordata; Mammalia; Carnivora; Felidae. The record is from Rfam.
GCCUGGGUGGCUCAGUCGGUUGAGCGUCCGACUUCGGCUCAGGUCAUGAUCUCACGGUCCGUGAGUUCGAGCCCCGCGUCAGGCU